Molecule: ribosomal RNA, 472 nt
Filed under: uncultured Alphaproteobacteria bacterium
Lineage: Bacteria; Pseudomonadati; Pseudomonadota; Alphaproteobacteria
Description: bacterial SSU rRNA
Rfam family: Bacterial small subunit ribosomal RNA
Source: RNAcentral
GAGUUUGAUCGUGGCUCAGGACGAACGCUGGCGGCAUGCUUAACACAUGCAAGUCAAGGGGUAGCAAUACCACUGGCGCACGGGUGAGUAACACGUAGGUUAUCUGCCCCCAUCACAGACAUAACUCCGGGAAACCGGUGCUAAUAUCUGAUGAGGUCGCGAGAUCAAAGUCUUCGGACGGAUGGGGAUGAGCCUGCGGCUGAUUAGCUAGUUGGUGAGGUAAUGGCUCACCAAGCCUACGAUCUAUAGCUGGUCUGAGAGGAUGAUCAGCCACACUGGGACUGAGACACGGCCCAGACUCCUACGGGAGGCAGCAGUGGGGAAUAUUGGACAAUGGACGAAAGUCUGAUCCAGCAAUGCCGCGUGAAUGAUGAAGGCCUUAGGGUUGUAAAGUUCUUUUAGUAGGGAAGAAAAUGGCGGUACCUACAGAAAAAGCUCCGGCUAACUUCGUGCCAGCAGCCGCCGCGGUAAG